CGGUUAGGGUGCCUUACCAUGCAAGUCGAACGGCAGCACGGACUUCGGUCUGGUGGCGAGUGGCGAACGGGUGAGUAAUGUAUCGGAACGUGCCUAGUAGCGGGGGAUAACUACGCGAAAGCGUAGCUAAUACCGCAUACGCCCUACGGGGGAAAGCAGGGGAUCGCAAGACCUUGCACUAUUAGAGCGGCCGAUAUCGGAUUAGCUAGUUGGUGGGGUAACGGCUCACCAAGGCGACGAUCCGUAGCUGGUUUGAGAGGACGACCAGCCACACUGGGACUGAGACACGGCCCAGACUCCUACGGGAGGCAGCAGUGGGGAAUUUUGGACAAUGGGGGAAACCCUGAUCCAGCCAUCCCGCGUGUGCGAUGAAGGCCUUCGGGUUGUAAAGCACUUUUGGCAGGAAAGAAACGUCAUGGGCUAAUACCCCGUGAAACUGACGGUACCUGCAGAAUAAGCACCGGCUAACUACGUGCCAGCAGCCGGGGGUAAUACAA
This 497-nucleotide ribosomal RNA is filed under the name Achromobacter sp. T50. RNAcentral's name for it is "bacterial SSU rRNA". It matches the Rfam family "Bacterial small subunit ribosomal RNA", at positions 36 to 528 of the family's 1533-position model. The record is from RNAcentral. Lineage: Bacteria; Pseudomonadati; Pseudomonadota; Betaproteobacteria; Burkholderiales; Alcaligenaceae.